This 71-nucleotide transfer RNA is filed under the name Bacteroidota bacterium. RNAcentral's name for it is "Bacteroidetes bacterium (freshwater metagenome) tRNA-Cys". It matches the Rfam family "tRNA". From Rfam's summary of the family: Transfer RNA (tRNA) molecules are approximately 80 nucleotides in length. The record is from RNAcentral. Lineage: Bacteria; Pseudomonadati; Bacteroidota.
GGUAUCAUGGCCGAGCGGUUAGGCACCGGUCUGCAAAACCGAUUACAGCGGUUCGAGUCCGCUUGAUACCU